Molecule: ribosomal RNA, 440 nt
Filed under: uncultured bacterium
Lineage: Bacteria
Description: bacterial SSU rRNA
Rfam family: Bacterial small subunit ribosomal RNA
Source: RNAcentral
CCUACGGGUCGCACCAGUGGGGAAUAUUGGACAAUGGGCGCAAGCCUGAUCCAGCCAUGCCGCGUGAGUGUUGAAGGCCUUAGGGUUGUAAAGCUCUUUCACCGGAGAAGAUAAUGACGGUAUCCGGAGAAGAAGCCCCGGCUAACUUCGUGCCAGCAGCCGCGGUAAUACGAAGGGGGCUAGCGUUGUUCGGAAUUACUGGGCGUAAAGCGCACGUAGGCGGACAUUUAAGUCAGGGGUGAAAUCCCGGGGCUCAACCUCGGAACUGCCUUUGAUACUGGGUGUCUUGAGUGUGGAAGAGGUCAGUGGAGUUGCGAGUGUAGAGGUGAAACUCGUAGAUAUUCGCAGGAACACCAGUGGCGGAGGCGGCUGACUGGUCCACAACUGACGCUGAGGUGCGAAAGCGUGGGGAGCAAACAGGAUUAGAUACCCCCGUAGUC